UGGGCCAAUAGCUCAGUUAGGUUGAGCGCUCGGCUGAUAACCGGGAGGUCCGCGGUUCAAAUCCGCGUUGGCCCAUCCA
Molecule: transfer RNA, 79 nt
Filed under: Halolamina pelagica
Lineage: Archaea; Methanobacteriati; Methanobacteriota; Halobacteria; Halobacteriales; Haloferacaceae
Also listed under: 2 other names
Description: tRNA-Ile
Rfam family: tRNA
About the family: Transfer RNA (tRNA) molecules are approximately 80 nucleotides in length. Their secondary structure includes four short double-helical elements and three loops (D, anti-codon, and T loops).
Source: RNAcentral